Molecule: long non-coding RNA, 9604 nt
Filed under: Homo sapiens (human)
Lineage: Eukaryota; Metazoa; Chordata; Mammalia; Primates; Hominidae
Description: HSALNT0034283
Source: RNAcentral
UAUUGAGUCAGCAGUUGGGGAUGUAUGGGUCUGAAGUUCAGAGGAGAGUUCAGGCUGGAAAGAAUAUAUUCGGAGUUGUAAACGUGAGGCCAGGCAGGAUCACGAGGAAGUGAGUGUCAGUAGAGAAGAAUGUGCAUAGCCUUAGGCACUUGAGUGAAUAGGCUCAACUGUGUGGAAGUCUGCUGACAGGUCAUCUAAGAUGAGGACUCUCAACUGACCGUUGGAUUUGCAAUGUGGACCUGAAGAGUAAUUGUGGUGAAGUUGUGAGAAUGAAACUGAAGUGGGUUCAAGAAAGAACGAGAGGAGAGAAAGUGGAGUUUGAGUAUAAAUAACUCUUUUGGAGAGGAUUGGUGUAAUUGAAUGGCAGGGGUAUGAGAUUUGAGGUCAAGGAAAUAUUUUUAUUAUUUUUUACGAUGAGAGAAAUUGUAGUACACAUGUAUAUUUAUGGGAAUGACUCAGUAGAAAGACCAAAAAUUUCAUAUGUGAGAGAAGGACCAAUUGAUGAAGCGAUGUUCUUGCGUGGGCGCGAGGAUGGGAUCGAGUGCACAGCGGAAGGUGGCACUUAGGAACACGCAGCACUCGUCCAUGCCAGCAGGAGGCAAGGCAGAAUGGAAAUAAAACUUUAACCAAAAGAGCAUGGGCAGAUAUUUCCCGGAUCUGAACAGGAAUAGCUGGUGUCUGGACUCUAUGAAGAAUCUUCAUGUGCAGUGAUAGAAGAAUAAACACAUUUGCAGACUUUUGUAGUGCACAGUGACCGGUGACCAGCAGCAUGUGUUUCCAUAGGCAUCUUCUCUCAGUACCCCAGAAGGUGAAUUGCCAGUGAGUCCUGCCAGGAUGCCCCUCGGUGACUGCACCACCCAGUAAAAAGACAUCCCUUAACUAUGGCAAAACAACAACAACAACGACGACAAAAAACAAAACAAAACAAAACAAAACCCUGCAUCAAUUUGAUAAAUAAUCCUCCCCGUUGAUGUCACUGGUUUUUUUCUGCACAUCUUCUCACUGAUAUUUAAAUGCUGAGCUUACACUUUCCAUGGACAUGCUUAAUGACUAAACAAUAGUUGAAUUCUAAAUUAAUCAACUGACCAACCAGUAAGAAUUUAUUGAGCAACUCCUUUGAAGCCGUCUAUCUGUUAGGUGCUGUGGGAGCACAAAAGAAAUAGGACAUCAUCUCUGCCUCAGGGAAUUUAGUGUUUUGGGGAAAACCUGAGUGGUAUACACAAAGCAAUUGAGGAACAACCUAGGACCUUGUAGUCCAUUAGGAUUUCCAAAAAUAGAAAGAGAAUGGAAAGUCACCUGGCUAGGAGAAGCCAGUGGAAACUUGACACGAAGAAAAAAGAGCAGCUAAUUUCAUUCCUGUCCACCAGUUAUUUAUGUGUUUAUCUUUAAUUACAUUUGUUUGAUUUCCCUUAUUAAAGUCUGAUGUCUUAAAAAAGCAGAAAAGUGAGGCAGGUCAGCAGGGGAUGUAAGUUGGGAAGAAAGACAGGUGAGGGCAAGAAUUUAGGCAGGAGCCACAGUGUUGGUUGUGCAGGUGAAGGUCAGGUGACGGAGGGUAACCAGUCAUGGAUGACCCAGGCAGGAGCCAUAACCAAAAUGUUAGAAAAAGUUGGUAAGAAAUUGUUCCAGGCCAGGCGCAGUGGCUCAUGCUUGUAAUUCCAGCACUUUGGGAGGCCAAGGUAGGCGGAUCACUUGAGGUCAGGAGUUUGAAACCAGCCUGGCCAACAUGGAGAUACCCUGUCUCUACUAAAAAUACAAAAACUAUCUGGGCAUGGUGGCACGUGCCUGUAAUCCCAGCUACUCAGGAGGCUGAGGCAGGAGAAUCACUUCAACCCAGGAGACAGAGAUUGCAGUGAGCCGAGAUUGCGCCACUGCACUCCAGCCUGGGUGACAGAGUGAGACACCAUCUCAAAAAAAAAAAAAAAAAAAAGUUUUCCAGGAACAAGGGCAGAACUUAGCUACUGAGUUCUACCGAAGGCCAGGAUCUGAGUCAAGCACCAAGGUUAACUCCCAGGGAAGCCAAAUGUUCAUAAAAGGAAAUCUUUCCAAAUCACAAAUAUCAGGGCCUGCUAGGUAAAUUCUAGCUUCUCUGUGCCAAGGGCUGUGUUCCUACUCUCAAGCGCCACUCACUGACUGUCUGGGUGGUGCUGUGGGCUUCUGUACUUUUAGCUUCAUCAGCUGCACCUGUCCUCUUUUCCCAUAAGACGCCAGGACCCUCAGAAUCUUCCCUCUUACCAGAAAUUUGGGUUUUGGGCUGGGUCCCUGGACCGAAUUCUGACACUCUAAGUGUUUGCAGACUAUUUUGAUAGAGGUAGUGAUUAUGAUGCCAGAAAAGUGAAGCCAGUUUUUAUUAGAAUGUUGGCCAUCUUGAAUAAUCCAUUCCCCCACUUCCAUGGGACAUCUUCAAAGAGAUUUUUAAAAGACAAAUAUGAUCUCUACUAAUGAGAUAUCUUCAGAAGGUAGAAUUAAAGCAAAAUUAAUGUACACAGAAUUCCUAUUUCAAUAUAUUUAUUAUUCACAACAUUUCUACACACACACACACACACACACACACGCAUACACACACACACACACACAUUCCUGCACAGGUAAUUUAUAGUGGCUAAUCCACUCAGUACUGUGGACUUUGGUUUUAGAGAGCAUUGUUUUCAAGGGUAGUACAGAUAAUCUGCCUCCAACAUAUUCUAUUCUUAGGGCUCUAAAGUCAAAGGAGUUUGUACAGACCCCUCCCUGCUAAGGUAAUUAUGUCCUCUUCAUAUCUUGCAUGAAUGUUUGCUCUUAGAGUGAUGAUCUGAAAUAUCAACAUCCUGCAGGACCUAGUCUGGUCUGGAAGAAGAAGAGAUAUGUCAUCUCUAUGGGCUUUGAUCUUGGUAGGCAUAUUUAUUCACCAGGUACACAAAUGCAACUUUAAACCCUCAGCCACAUUUAGUAAACUAUUUCUUCAUCUGUUGCAGUCUUAUUCUGAUGGGAAAAAUUUCCUCUGUUUUUCAAGUUUAAUUUAUUAUUUUUUCAAAUUACAAGAGCAAUGCAUAUUAUUGUAACCAGAGAGAUAAUGCCAAGAUCGGUAGAGAAAAACUUAAUAAUCUCGACCUCCUAUAACCAUCUCUCUUCCCAUCCCCCUGAGGUAAUAGCAAAUGUUAACAGCCUGCUACCUCUGCACAUCUUCCUUCCUUCAUGAUUUCCCUACACACACACCCAUACACACACGUGCGCAUGCACACACACACCCACUCAAACACACGGUGUACGUCCAGGAGUCAGAAGUGGCUACAGAGAUGGAGUCUUCAUUAUUAAGAGUAAAACAACAGAAGCCUGUAUUUUGACCAGAGGCCUGGAAUCUACUACUUUGUGAAUUAGCUAAGCAGCCCCAGUUGAACGUGAACCAGCCUGGAACAGAGUGGACUGCAGAGGCAAUAAACAAGGAUGUCGUGAAGACCCUGUUUCUUUCUAGCGUGGCAUCCCAGGAUAAAAUAUACAAUUAAUAGAUACUGGAAGGCACACUUUCUGAUUAUGGAGAAACCAUCAAAUUUGGCCAUGGUUUUGCAUAGGGGCUAGGUUGGAAAUUCAACUAGAACAAUUUAAUGUCUACUGGCAAAGCUUCUUAAUUAUGGAAUGAAAGCUACCUCAAAGUGCCUGGAGGCUUGAGCUGAAUGGUGAGAUCUUCAUUGACCUGACCUCCUCUGUGCUGAAGUUUGCUGACUUGAGGAGACCUCCCCUAAGAACAGACCCUCCCCUCAGGGCUGCCUUCAGCGAUGAUGAUUGACGCUGGCAAGUCAGUCAAGUGGGAAGUUUGCAGCACACACGGCUCAAAGGACUCACCCAGUUUGCCCUGUUGGAGGAUGUUAACCUUUGCACACUAUUUUUGACAUUUAAUUUUUCCUUCCAUUUAGUGCAUGACUCUUUUUUUGUCUUUCUAGUAAAUUCAUUUAGUUAGUAUUAUUCUUUGCCUAUUUUGUCUUUUAAACUUCUGGUUUUUAAUCUUUCGUAUUUUAUAUUAUUUAUUCUUGGUGUUCAUGCUUCUUAUUCUCUUUUCUGCUAUUUUAUCUUAUUGUUGUGAUAAUAGUAUAUUUGCAGUAAGCUCCUUUUACUAACUUCAUUUAUUUCUACAUAAUGUUUUAUCUGGCUUUGACCACAACUAUAUAAGGGGACAGCAAAGUGGAGCCACAAAUGGGAAGAUUGUGAAGAGGGCCCUUGACCAAAUAAAGAGGAAACCUUUUCCCUGAAGAGGACUUUUCAGCAACCCAACUAAUUCACUCAUUUUUCUCAAAGUUGAAUUUUCUUCCACAAAAACCCCUUGACUUUGUUAUUGAGUAGAUCCUCAGGCCUAGGAAAAUAAUGUCUACAUCGACCAAGGAGAUAUCUGAACUACCAGUACUUCCUGCAGCAUCUUUGUUUUGGUUGGCCUGGGCAGGUGGUGGGGCACGGGGGUGAAGGGAGGGGUCUGAGGUGGGUAGAAAACAAGGGUAUCCCCAGGGCUAUGGGAGGAAGGUCUAGUGGACUGGAACCAUUGUAUCUGUCGAUUAGUGGAGGCAAUCAUAUUUGUGAUCCUUGAGCUAAUGGUCUAGUAAGACUAUAAACUUGUUCAUAAUUAAAGCUGGCAAGAGGGUUCUUACCCCAGGUAAUGAGACAAGAGUGAACCACAGGAGGAAGCCAGCACAGAGACCGUAUGUAAUGAGUCCCUUCAUGGGAAAGGGAUGGAAAACAGUCCUCAGGCUAGCAGCAGAGGGAGUGCUGUCUGUUGUGGGUCUUGACCUGCUUAAGAGGUCUGACUUGAGGUGAGGCUGAAAGACAGCCCCGCUGGGGGCUUCAAGAUAACGAUGGACGGAUAGAGUUCUCUCACCGCUGAAUAUCUCCUAAGGCAUUAGUAAAACACUAUUUAAAUAUUUCCUCUGUAACUCAGUUGUGCUAUUAAAGCUCUGUUUCUCAAAGUAGGUCUGUAGAUGUUCUUGAGAGAGUGAGUGUUUCAUGAGAAUUUUCAAAUUUUCUGCUUUCGUUUUGAAGAUAAUCUUAAAGAAAUAAAAUCAAAAUGUUCUACUACAUUAUUUUUAGUGCUGAAGGCUGAGUUUGGUGCCAAAUGAAGAACAAAUAACAUCACGGCAUGCUAUGGAAAUGUCGAUUUUGCAUUAAGUUUGAAUAGAGAAAGAUGUGGGAAAAUUGAUCAAUUUUGUGGCCCAAAGGUAGUACAGACAUCAUUAGUUCAAAAUGUCUUCUGUCAUAGCAGUGGCAUAUCAUGUUGAGAAGUUAUUGUGAGACAUACCAACUUGAACUGUCAUUCAAUAGCAGGAAAGAAUACUGUUAUUUUUAUUCAAUAGUAUUUUUAAUGUUAAUCUUCAGUAUUUUUAUUAUUAUGUACUUAUUGUGGUGCACUAUUAAAUUUAUCAGCCCCUCAAACUAAUGGAUUAGUAGUUAAACAAGCUUAUUUACCAAAAACGAUUAAUCCUACGAUAACUUGAAGAAAGACUUAAGAUAUGCUUCCAGUAUUGUUCAAAGUCAAAAGAAUCAAGAGGACAGAAAGUGAAGCAUAAAACAUACAAAUAGUAGGUGUAUUAAACCCAACGCCAGCAAUUUAGUUCCAGCAAAAUAUCAUUUAUCACACUGAUGUUUUCUAUAUGAACUCUAGUGGCUUUUGUAUGUUUGCUUGUUUUUAAUUUGCAGCUUUGCUUGAGUUUUGAAGUAAUUUAAGAGCUAUAUGUAUGGGAAAUUUAUAUCUGUUCAUUUUGAAGUAACACAAUAAAAAUAAUGUAGAGCAACAGUAGGAUUUUAUGGGAGUUUUUUUUUAUCUUUUAAACAUUAUUCAAGCUUAAAAAAUCUAUGACAGAGAAUUAAUGGGAGGCUUUUAUGUCUACUCUUUCAGUCUCAGGCUAACUGGGCCAUAACACCUCUUCAGGCUGGGGUUGGGGUAAUGGAAGCAAUUAAUGAAAGACAAGGAAAGAAAUCGGGGAUGAGUUAGAUAUUUGUGGACCAGUUCAUCCUCUGAAUGUGGAUAACUACUACUUAGUCACAAUCUUGGUGAAUUUUGUUUUAUUUUGAAAAUCUAAUAUUAGGAUAUCUGAGUUCUAAGAAAACCAGGAGAGACUUGUAAGUGUUGACAAAACUUAAUAGAGUAAAAGUAGAUAUUGGGGUAGGCGCAGAAAACUGGAAAUUUAGGUUCAUAGAACUGAGGUGAAAUGUGUGUGUGACUGGAACAAACCUGUGUGUGUGUGUGUGUGUGUGAGCUUGUGUAUUCAUGGUGAAGUUCUCAAUAAAUUUGCCUACAAUUGUGUGUGGCUGGUGGAUGGGCUGUCUGGAUGAAUGGCAUCACCCAUGCACCAGACUUCUUUCCCUAAAAGUGUUUGUUCUGGGGGCUUUCCUGGUUGUCUCAGGUGUAAGUUCAGAUGUACUCUAGGAUUUUCUUGAGGUAGAAAACAAGAUUCCAUGACUGCUUUUCAGGACUGUUACUUUCCAUUGCAACCAAAUGUUGGAGUGACCAUCGUGCUAGCGGGAGGCCAGCACUCUUUCUACUACCUCUCUCACUGUUUAUUUCAGUUCUUUCUUGAUUGCUGUAAACACAUGUAUGGCAUGGACAGCCAGGUCUUGGUCAGGGUUAAUCUAGGAAGGGUGAAAGGCAAAGUGAAUCCAGAUAGAUAGAUGUCAUUAGAGUGAGAAUGCCAGGGAUUAAUGGCAUUUGUGACUUCAUGGGGCCUCAGAUAGCCACUUUCCAAUUUUAUGAAUGGAUACUACAUUUACAUAGAAAAACAGCAUCUGCUCUCCCCAGUGCUUAGCGGUGAUCAGUGUAAGUCUUGGAAUGCCAGAGGGUGAUCAACUGAUGCUUUUAGCUGCUUGUAGUUCCUCCGUGUACUGGUCAGCUACAGGGUGGGAGUUCUCUGAUAUACAGAAACAUGCCACGGAUGCUGUGGAAUGGACUCCUCCGGAUGCAGUAACAGGGUGAUAGUGCAAGUGCAUUAUCUGUUCAAUGAGCAGCAGCAGUACUACAGGCUUAGGACCCGUUCAAUACAUUCUCCCUGACUCUAUCAGCGAGUGAUGGGUGGAACAAAGGUGAACUGGAAAAUGGAGAGGCUUUGAGUAAUACCUUCCAAAAUAAGAAUACAAAUUGAGAUCUGAGGUUUUCCUACUCUACGUUCUUACGAUAACCCAUAGUUUUCUUUUGUUACCUAUAAUAGUUUAUAAUGACAUAUUUAUGCAUUUAUUUGGUUAAUGUCUAUCAUAUAUCCUAUAUUUUAAGCUAUAUAAGGCCAGGAAUUGUAGGUACUUUUAUUUACCAGGGAUCCCAGUGGCUAAUACAGUGCCUGAAUGUGUGGGUUUUUUACAAAUUCUUUAAGAGUGACCCACUACUAUUUCUGAUUAUAAGUAUUAGUCAUCUUGUUGCUGCAUAACAGAUUACCCCAAAAUUUAGCAGCUUAAAACAACAUAUAUUUAUUAUCUUACAGUUUCUGUGGGUCAGGAAUUUGGGAGUGACUUAGCUAAGUGGUUCUGAUAUUAGUUAGGCUGCAGCCAUUGAAGGCUUGACUGGGGUUGGAGGAUACACUUCUUAGAAGGCUCAUUCACAUGAAUGCUAGUAGAAAGUUUCAGUUCCUUUGCUGCUUAUUGGUGGGAGGCCUCAAUUUUUAACCACAUGCAUGACUUCAUAGGGCUGCUUGAGUGUCCUUAUGACAUGACAGGUAGCUUUUUCUGGAGUAAGUAGUAUGGGGAUGCAAGGAGAGAGGGAGAGACAGGAGGAAGAAGCAAUACUUCUAUUAAAAAUAGGCUUUUUCAUACCGUAAAACUUACCCCCACCCUUUUUUUUUUUUUUUUUUGGACAUAGGGUCUCAUUCUGUUGUCCAGGCUGGACUGCAGUGGUAUGAUAAUGACUCACUGCAGCUCUGACCUCCCGGGCUCAAUUGAUCCUCUUACCUCAGCUUCCCAAGUAGCUGGGACUACAGGCAUGUGCCACCACACCAGCUAAUUUAAAAAAAAUUUUUUUUUUAGAGAUGAGGUUUUGCCAUCUUUCCCAGGCUGCUCUUGAACUCCUGGGCUCAAGCGAUCUACCCGCAUUGGCCUCCCAAAGUGUUGGGAUUACAGGCUUGAGCCACUGUGCUGGCAAAUUUACCCUUUUAAAUUGUACAAUUCUCCCUGGUCAUCUAGUGUUUAUGAAAAAUCACCAAAAUAAAUGAAGUGUACAAUUCAGUGGUUUUAAUACAUUCACAAGGUUGUGCAACCAUCACCACUAUCUAAUUCUAGCAUAUUUCCAUUACUCCAAAAAGAAAUUCCAUUAUUUGUCGGCAGUCACUUCCUAUUUCUCCCUCUCCCCAGGCCCUGGCAACCACUAAUCUUUCUGUCUCAAUGGGUUUGUCUAAUCUAGACACUUCAUAUAAAUGGAAUCAUACCAUAUGUAGCCUUUUUUGUCUCACUUCUUUCACUUAGUAUACAUGCCACAUGGCAGCAUGUAUCAGCAUUUCAUUCUUUUUUAUGGGCAAAUAAUAUUGUACUGUAUGAAUAGACCACAUUUUGUUUAUCCAUUCAUUAGUCAAUGGAUAUUUUGGUUGUCUUGGCUUUUUGGAUACCAUGAACUUUGCUACUAUGAACAUUUGUGUACAGGUUUUUAUGUGGACAUAUAUUUUCAAUUCUUUUGGAUAUGUACCUAUGCGUAGAAUUUCUGGGUCAUAUGGUAAUUAUAUGUAUAAAUUUUUUUGAGGAACUGCCAAACUGUUUUCCAAAGUGGCUGCAUCAUUUACAUUCUGACCAGCAGUAUAUGAAGUUUCCAGUUUCUCCACAACUUGCCCACAUUUGUUUUGCUGUUUUGAUAUUUGCCAUCCUAGUGGGAAGUGGUAUUUCAUUGUGAUUUUGUUUUGUAUUUCUAUUUUCCUAACAAAUAUUGAUGUGCAACUUUUCAUAUGAUUAUUUGCCAUUUGCAUAUCUUCUUUGGAGAAAUGUAUAUUCAAAUUCUUUGCUCAUUAUUAAAUUGGGUCAUUUGUCUUUCUAUUAUUGAGUUGUAAAAGUUCUUUAUAUAUUCUAGGUACAGUUCUGGCUAUCAGGUGUAUGAUUUGCAAAUACUUUGUCUUUCCACUUUCUUGAUAGUGUGUCCUUUGACACAAUUAAUUUAAAUAUUUUGAUGAAGUUUGGCUGAGUGUGGUGUCUCACACCUGUAAUCCCAGCACUUUGGGAGGCCAAGGUAGAAGGAUUGUUUGAGGCCAGGAGUUAAAGACCAGCUUGUGCAACAUAAUGAGACCUUAUCUCUAUUAACAAAAUUUUUUUUUAUGAAGUUCAACUUAUCUGUUUUUUUUUCUUUUGUUGCUCAUGUUUUUGAUCUCAUAUCUAAAAAUUCUUUGCCAAUCCAAAGUCAUGAAGAUUUAACUCCGUGUUUUCUUCUGAGUUUUAUAAUUGUUGCCCUUAUUUGUAGGUUUUUGAUCCAUUUUGAGUUAAUUUUUAUGUAUGGUGUGAGAUAGUGAAUUCAACCUUAUUCUUUCGCAUGUGGCUAUUAAGUUGCCCUAGCACAAUUUGUUGAAAGGACUCUUCUUUUCCCAUUGAAUUGUUUUGGUGCCCUUGUUGAAAGUCAACUGACCAUAAGUGUAUUUCAAUUUUUGGAUGUGAUUAUAAGUGGAAUUAUUUUAUUAAUGUGAUUUUUGGCUCG